AUUUAACGCUGGCGGAAUGCUUUACACAUGCAAGUCGAACGGCAGCACGGACUUCGGUCUGGUGGCGAGUGGCGAACGGGUGAGUAAUACAUCGGAACGUGCCCAGUCGUGGGGGAUAACGUAGCGAAAGCUACGCUAAUACCGCAUACGAUCUAAGGAUGAAAGCGGGGGAUCGCAAGACCUCGCGCGAUUGUAGCGGCCGAUGGCAGAUUAGGUAGUUGGUGGGGUAAAGGCUCACCAAGCCGACGAUCUGUAGCUGGUCUGAGAGGACGACCAGCCACAAUGGGAAUGAGACACGGCCCAGACUCCUACGGGAGGCAGCAGUGGGGAAUUUUGGACAAUGGGCGCAAGCCUGAUCCAGCCAUUCCGCGUGCAGGAUGAAGGCCCUCGGGUUGUAAACUGCUUUUGUACGGAACGAAAAGGCUCUGGUUAAUACCUGGGGCUCAUGACGGUAACGUAAGAAUAAGCACCGGCUAACUACGUGCCAGCAGCCGCCGUAA
Molecule: ribosomal RNA, 500 nt
Filed under: uncultured bacterium
Lineage: Bacteria
Description: partial 16S ribosomal RNA
Rfam family: Bacterial small subunit ribosomal RNA
Source: RNAcentral